UACGUAGGGGGCUAGCGUUGUCCGGAUUUAUUGGGCGUAAAGAGCGUGUAGGCGGCCAGGUAGGUCUGCUGUGAAAACUCGAGGCUCAACCUCGAGACGUCGGCGGAAACCAUCUGGCUAGAGUCCGGAAGAGGAGAGUGGAAUUCCUGGUGUAGCGGUGAAAUGCGCAGAUAUCAGGAAGAACACCCGUGGCGAAGGCGGCUCUCUGGGACGGUAGUGACGCUGAGACGCGAAAGCGUGGGGAGCGAACAGG
This 253-nucleotide ribosomal RNA is filed under the name uncultured bacterium. RNAcentral describes it as "partial 16S ribosomal RNA". It matches the Rfam family "Bacterial small subunit ribosomal RNA", at positions 524 to 776 of the family's 1533-position model. The record is from RNAcentral.